Molecule: small RNA, 19 nt
Filed under: Arabidopsis thaliana (thale cress)
Lineage: Eukaryota; Viridiplantae; Streptophyta; Magnoliopsida; Brassicales; Brassicaceae
Description: ATSL115950
Source: RNAcentral
AAAAAGGAGAAGAAAAAAA